GGGUUGUGAGGUUAAGCGACUAAGCGUACACGGUGGAUGCCCUGGCAGUCAGAGGCGAUGAAGGACGUGCUAAUCUGCGAUAAGCGUCGGUAAGGUGAUAUGAACCGUUAUAACCGGCGAUUUCCGAAUGGGGAAACCCAGUGUGAUUCGUCACACUAUCAUUAACUGAAUCCAUAGGUUAAUGAGGCGAACCGGGGGAACUGAAACAUCUAAGUACCCCGAGGAAAAGAAAUCAACCGAGAUUCCCCCAGUAGCGGCGAGCGAACGGGGAGCAGCCCAGAGCCUGAAUCAGUGUGUGUGUUAGUGGAAGCGUCUGGAAAGGCGCGCGAUACAGGGUGACAGCCCCGUACACAAAAAUGCACAUAUUGUGAGCUCGAUGAGUAGGGCGGGACACGUGGUAUCCUGUCUGAAUAUGGGGGGACCAUCCUCCAAGGCUAAAUACUCCUGACUGACCGAUAGUGAACCAGUACCGUGAGGGAAAGGCGAAAAGAACCCCGGCGAGGGGAGUGAAAAAGAACCUGAAACCGUGUACGUACAAGCAGUGGGAGCACGCUUAGGCGUGUGACUGCGUACCUUUUGUAUAAUGGGUCAGCGACUUAUAUUCUGUAGCAAGGUUAACCGAAUAGGGGAGCCGAAGGGAAACCGAGUCUUAACUGGGCGUUAAGUUGCAGGGUAUAGACCCGAAACCCGGUGAUCUAGCCAUGGGCAGGUUGAAGGUUGGGUAACACUAACUGGAGGACCGAACCGACUAAUGUUGAAAAAUUAGCGGAUGACUUGUGGCUGGGGGUGAAAGGCCAAUCAAACCGGGAGAUAGCUGGUUCUCCCCGAAAGCUAUUUAGGUAGCGCCUCGUGAAUUCAUCUCCGGGGGUAGAGCACUGUUUCGGCAAGGGGGUCAUCCCGACUUACCAACCCGAUGCAAACUGCGAAUACCGGAGAAUGUUAUCACGGGAGACACACGGCGGGUGCUAACGUCCGUCGUGAAGAGGGAAACAACCCAGACCGCCAGCUAAGGUCCCAAAGUCAUGGUUAAGUGGGAAACGAUGUGGGAAGGCCCAGACAGCCAGGAUGUUGGCUUAGAAGCAGCCAUCAUUUAAAGAAAGCGUAAUAGCUCACUGGUCGAGUCGGCCUGCGCGGAAGAUGUAACGGGGCUAAACCAUGCACCGAAGCUGCGGCAGCGACGCUUAUGCGUUGUUGGGUAGGGGAGCGUUCUGUAAGCCUGUGAAGGUGUGCUGUGAGGCAUGCUGGAGGUAUCAGAAGUGCGAAUGCUGACAUAAGUAACGAUAAAGCGGGUGAAAAGCCCGCUCGCCGGAAGACCAAGGGUUCCUGUCCAACGUUAAUCGGGGCAGGGUGAGUCGACCCCUAAGGCGAGGCCGAAAGGCGUAGUCGAUGGGAAACAGGUUAAUAUUCCUGUACUUGGUGUUACUGCGAAGGGGGGACGGAGAAGGCUAUGUUGGCCGGGCGACGGUUGUCCCGGUUUAAGCGUGUAGGCUGGUUUUCCAGGCAAAUCCGGAAAAUCAAGGCUGAGGCGUGAUGACGAGGCACUACGGUGCUGAAGCAACAAAUGCCCUGCUUCCAGGAAAAGCCUCUAAGCAUCAGGUAACAUCAAAUCGUACCCCAAACCGACACAGGUGGUCAGGUAGAGAAUACCAAGGCGCUUGAGAGAACUCGGGUGAAGGAACUAGGCAAAAUGGUGCCGUAACUUCGGGAGAAGGCACGCUGAUAUGUAGGUGAAGUCCCUUGCGGAUGGAGCUGAAAUCAGUCGAAGAUACCAGCUGGCUGCAACUGUUUAUUAAAAACACAGCACUGUGCAAACACGAAAGUGGACGUAUACGGUGUGACGCCUGCCCGGUGCCGGAAGGUUAAUUGAUGGGGUCAGCGCAAGCGAAGCUCUUGAUCGAAGCCCCGGUAAACGGCGGCCGUAACUAUAACGGUCCUAAGGUAGCGAAAUUCCUUGUCGGGUAAGUUCCGACCUGCACGAAUGGCGUAAUGAUGGCCAGGCUGUCUCCACCCGAGACUCAGUGAAAUUGAACUCGCUGUGAAGAUGCAGUGUACCCGCGGCAAGACGGAAAGACCCCGUGAACCUUUACUAUAGCUUGACACUGAACAUUGAGCCUUGAUGUGUAGGAUAGGUGGGAGGCUUUGAAGUGUGGACGCCAGUCUGCAUGGAGCCGACCUUGAAAUACCACCCUUUAAUGUUUGAUGUUCUAACGUUGACCCGUAAUCCGGGUUGCGGACAGUGUCUGGUGGGUAGUUUGACUGGGGCGGUCUCCUCCUAAAGAGUAACGGAGGAGCACGAAGGUUGGCUAAUCCUGGUCGGACAUCAGGAGGUUAGUGCAAUGGCAUAAGCCAGCUUGACUGCGAGCGUGACGGCGCGAGCAGGUGCGAAAGCAGGUCAUAGUGAUCCGGUGGUUCUGAAUGGAAGGGCCAUCGCUCAACGGAUAAAAGGUACUCCGGGGAUAACAGGCUGAUACCGCCCAAGAGUUCAUAUCGACGGCGGUGUUUGGCACCUCGAUGUCGGCUCAUCACAUCCUGGGGCUGAAGUAGGUCCCAAGGGUAUGGCUGUUCGCCAUUUAAAGUGGUACGCGAGCUGGGUUUAGAACGUCGUGAGACAGUUCGGUCCCUAUCUGCCGUGGGCGCUGGAGAACUGAGGGGGGCUGCUCCUAGUACGAGAGGACCGGAGUGGACGCAUCACUGGUGUUCGGGUUGUCAUGCCAAUGGCACUGCCCGGUAGCUAAAUGCGGAAGAGAUAAGUGCUGAAAGCAUCUAAGCACGAAACUUGCCCCGAGAUGAGUUCUCCCUGACCCUUUAAGGGUCCUGAAGGAACGUUGAAGACGACGACGUUGAUAGGCCGGGUGUGUAAGCGCAGCGAUGCGUUGAGCUAACCGGUACUAAUGAACCGUGAGGCUUAACCUUACAACGCCGAAGCUGUU
Molecule: ribosomal RNA, 2930 nt
Filed under: Escherichia coli
Lineage: Bacteria; Pseudomonadati; Pseudomonadota; Gammaproteobacteria; Enterobacterales; Enterobacteriaceae
Description: 23S ribosomal RNA
Rfam family: Bacterial large subunit ribosomal RNA
Source: RNAcentral